Jaculus jaculus (lesser Egyptian jerboa) is the source of this 106-nucleotide small nuclear RNA. NCBI's taxonomy places the organism in Eukaryota, Metazoa, Chordata, Mammalia, Rodentia, Dipodidae. The record is from Ensembl.
GUUUUCUUACUUUGGAAACACAUAUACUAAAAUCAGAAUGAGACAGAGACUAACAUUCCUCCUGCCCAAGGAUGAGAUAGAAAUGCGCGAAGCAUUCCAUGUUGAA